This 156-nucleotide non-coding RNA is filed under the name human gut metagenome. The record is from RNAcentral.
GAAGAAACGAUUAAAAGGGAAUCAGGUGAAAAUCCUGAACAGUCCCGCUGCUGUAAGUUUAUAAAACUUGUAAAAGCAAAUACUCUUGCCACUGAAACAUGGUUUCGGGAAGGCGUUUUUACGAAAACAAAGUCAGAAGACCUGCCAUGCAUGAUA